This 497-nucleotide ribosomal RNA is filed under the name uncultured bacterium. Its description in RNAcentral is "partial 16S ribosomal RNA". It matches the Rfam family "Bacterial small subunit ribosomal RNA", at positions 28 to 507 of the family's 1533-position model. The record is from RNAcentral.
GAUGAACGCUGGCGGCGUGCCUAAUACAUGCAAGUCGAGCGAACAGAUAAGGAGCUUGCUCCUUUGAAGUUAGCGGCGGACGGGUGGGUAACACGUGGGUAACCUACCUAUAAGACUGGGAUAACUUCGGGAAACCGGAGCUAAUACCGGAUAACAUUUAGAACCGCAUGGUUCUAAAGUGAAAGAUGGUUUUGCUAUCACUUAUAGAUGGACCCGCGCCGUAUUAGCUAGUUGGUAAGGUAACGGCUUACCAAGGCGACGAUACGUAGCCGACCUGAGAGGGUGAUCGGCCACACUGGAACUGAGACACGGUCCAGACUCCUACGGGAGGCAGCAGUAGGGAAUCUUCCGCAAUGGGCGAAAGCCUGACGGAGCAACGCCGCGUGAGUGAUGAAGGGUUUCGGCUCGUAAAACUCUGUUAUUAGGGAAGAACAAAUGUGUAAGUAACUGUGCACAUCUUGACGGUACCUAAUCAGAAAGCCACGGCUAACUACGUG